UACUCUUACCCCAUCUGUCUCUCGCUCAUUCUCUCUCACUCCAGUUAGUUUCCAGCACGUUGAGUUCUCCCACUAGUUUAGUUGGCGUGUAAAGAAAGAAAGAGACCCCAUUUAAACAAGCUUCGAAAGACACUAUCUCUCGCAAAAAAUACACCACAAAUGACAGCAAAGAGAAAGCAAGAGAAGAAAGAAAGCGAAAGAGACCAAAAACGAAACAAACAAAUAGAAUAAGUAUUGAAGUGUAUGUAAAGACGGGGGAGAAAUUUUCAGGUGCUGCCCGCGGAAGAACAUAUGUUGAGCUUAAUUGCGUUGUGCGGCCAUCUUGCCACCACUCUCCGCCAUUUGAUCAGUCGCUCGCUCGCUCGGCCAGGAUCUGCUGCUAUUAGAUGAGAUUUUGCCCGGUUUCUUUACCUACAUUUUUAUCCACGGAUAACCUUACCGGGAUUUUACUUUCUAAAGGAGUACUUUUUAUUGAAAUCGGCCCGAGGGAAUUCAUUCUAAAUGUCGGGAUUUCGGUGUUGCAUUCAUCGGUUUGAGUGAGUAGUAGAAGAGCGGGAGAGAGAGUGAGAGAGAGUGGGUGAGUGAGUACGAAAGAAAGAAAGAAAGGGUGUGAGUGAGUGAGUGAAAGUGAGUGAGUAAGAGAGAGUGAGUGAGAGUGUGAAAGAGAGAGAGAUAGACAAACAGCAAAAAAAAAAAAAUACAUAUAUAUAUAUAUAAGAUCGUGUGAGUGUGAGUGAAAGUGCAAAACGAAAGAAAAAAAGAAAAGCAUAAAGGAAAAAAAAAAAAAAGAAAUUGUUCUGUAAUUCUCAGCCACUCUUUUAUUUCUCGAAUUCCUUACACCACCAUCUUCGGAUUAUUAUUAUUACCAAUACUACUACUACCACCAGCACCAUUAUUAUUACUACUACUUCUACUACUAUUAUUAUUAAUAUCAUCAUCGUCUCCGUUGUUGUUGUGUUGUUCGGUCGGGUUAUUCCGGCCGCCUCCGCCACUCACUCAUACUCCACAUACACACAUUCUAUCCGCUGUCUCCUGCCGAAGUAUAUAUAUAUAUAUUAUAUCUAUAUAUAUACAUACAUACACAUACAUACAUCCAUAUAAAUAUAUAUUAUAUAUAUAAAUACAUACACACACAUACACAGAAGUAAGUUAUCAUUUUUAUUAUUUUUUUUUUCCUUCAGAUCAUCGUUAUUAUUAUUAUUAUUAUCAUCAUCAUCAUCAAAUCGUCAUCAUCAUUGUAAAAUCCAAAGAAAGUUGAAUUUCAAUGGAAUCGAAGGAGUCUAAGGCCCAGCAACGCACGCAAAGAAACAGGCGCCGUAUGGUGAGAGGUCAGCAGCAACUGCAGGAGAAACAACACCAAGCGGCCCCGAUGGCGGCGGCUACGGCGGCGGCAACGGCGGCGGGAGGCAGCGGCGGCGAGGACGACGAUGACGGCGCGGCCGCGGCGGACGACGAGUGUCCAGCCAGAACCAGCAAGGAUAGCAAUAAUAGCCACAACAACAACAACAACAAUAACAACAGCAACAACAACAACAACAGUAAUAAUAGCAACAACAAUAAUAAUGCUAAUAAUAAUAAUAAUAAUAAUACUAAUAAUAAUACCACUACUAAUAAUAAUAAUAGUAAUAAUAAUAAUAAUAAGUCAAAACCGAAACCACCUCCGCCGUCCCAGCGCCGGAGGCGAACCAGUUCCAAUUCAUUUGACGAGGAUAUUAUUGAUGGAUUUGCCAUCAUCAGCUUCAAAACACUUCAGGAUAUGGAGGUAAGGGAACCUUUCUAUAUAUUUUCUUUUCAUGUGUUG
This 1801-nucleotide long non-coding RNA is filed under the name Octopus vulgaris (common octopus). Lineage: Eukaryota; Metazoa; Mollusca; Cephalopoda; Octopoda; Octopodidae. The record is from RNAcentral.